UACAGAGGGGGCAAGCGUUGUUCGGAAUUACUGGGCGUAAAGAGCGUGUAGGCGGCCAGACAGGUCCGUUGUGAAAACUCGAGGCUCAACCUCGAGACGCCGAUGGAAACCGUCUGGCUAGAGUCCGGAAGGGGAGAGUGGAAUUCCUGGUGUAGCGGUGAAAUGCGCAGAUAUCAGGAAGAACACCCGUGGCUAAGGCGGCUCUCUAGUACGGUACUGACGCUGAGACGCGAAAGCGUGGGGAGCGAACAGG
RNAcentral lists this ribosomal RNA (253 nucleotides) under uncultured bacterium. Its description in RNAcentral is "partial 16S ribosomal RNA". It matches the Rfam family "Bacterial small subunit ribosomal RNA", at positions 524 to 776 of the family's 1533-position model. The record is from RNAcentral.